CAAUAGCGUAUAUUAAAGUUGUUGCAGUUAACAAGCUCGUAGUUGGAUUUCUGGUGGGAGCGAUCGGUCUGGCGCUUAGCGCGAGUACUUGCAUCGUCUCCGGCCAUCCUUGGGGAGAGUCUGUCUGGCAUUAGGUUGUCGGGCAGAGGAUCCUCAUCGUUUACUGUGAAAAAAUUAGAGUGUUCAAAGCAGGCUUAUGCCGUUGAAUAUAUUAGCAUGGAAUAAUAAGAUAGGACUUUGGUACUAUUUUGUUGGUUUGCGCACCAAAGUAAUGAUUAAUAGGGACAGUUGGGGGUAUUCGUAUUCCGUUGUCAGAGGUGAAAUUCUUGGAUUUACGGAAGACGAACUACUGCGAAAGCAUUUACCAAGGAUGUUUUCAUUAA
RNAcentral lists this ribosomal RNA (383 nucleotides) under uncultured eukaryote. RNAcentral's name for it is "partial 18S ribosomal RNA". It matches the Rfam family "Eukaryotic small subunit ribosomal RNA", at positions 592 to 976 of the family's 1831-position model. The record is from RNAcentral.